Molecule: ribosomal RNA, 496 nt
Filed under: uncultured bacterium
Lineage: Bacteria
Description: partial 16S ribosomal RNA
Rfam family: Bacterial small subunit ribosomal RNA
Source: RNAcentral
AUGAACGCUGGCGGCGUGCCUAAUACAUGCAAGUCGAGCGAACAGACGAGGAGCUUGCUCCUCUGACGUUAGCGGCGGACGGGUGAGUAACACGUGGAUAACCUACCUAUAAGACUGGGAUAACUUCGGGAAACCGGAGCUAAUACCGGAUAAUAUAUUGAACCGCAUGGUUCAAUAGUGAAAGACGGUUUUGCUGUCACUUAUAGAUGGAUCCGCGCCGCAUUAGCUAGUUGGUAAGGUAACGGCUUACCAAGGCAACGAUGCGUAGCCGACCUGAGAGGGUGAUCGGCCACACUGGAACUGAGACACGGUCCAGACUCCUACGGGAGGCAGCAGUAGGGAAUCUUCCGCAAUGGGCGAAAGCCUGACGCAGCAACGCCGCGUGAGUGAUGAAGGUCUUCGGAUCGUAAAACUCUGUUAUUAGGGAAGAACAAAUGUGUAAGUAACUAUGCACGUCUUGACGGUACCUAAUCAGAAAGCCACGGCUAACUACGUG